Molecule: ribosomal RNA, 492 nt
Filed under: uncultured bacterium
Lineage: Bacteria
Description: partial 16S ribosomal RNA
Rfam family: Bacterial small subunit ribosomal RNA
Source: RNAcentral
AGUGAACGCUGGCGGUAGGCCUAACACAUGCAAGUCGAACGGCAGCACAGUAAGAGCUUGCUCUUACGGGUGGCGAGUGGCGGACGGGUGAGGAAUACAUCGGAAUCUACUUUUUCGUGGGGGAUAACGUAGGGAAACUUACGCUAAUACCGCAUACUACCUACGGGUGAAAGCAGGGGAUCUUCGGGCCUUGCGCGAUUGAAUGAGACGAUGUCGGAUUAGCUAGUUGGCGGGGUAAAGGCCCACCAAGGCGACGAUCCGUAGCUGGUCUGAGAGGAUGAUCAGCCACACUGGAACUGAGACACGGUCCAGACUCCUACGGGAGGCAGCAGUGGGGAAUAUUGGACAAUGGGCGCAAGCCUGAUCCAGCCAUACCGCGUGGGUGAAGAAGGCCUUCGGGUUGUAAAGCCCUUUUGUUGGGAAAGAAAAGCAGCAGGUUAAUACCCCGCUGUUCUGACGGUACCCAAAGAAUAAGCACCGGCUAACUUCGUG